UGAUGGUGACCUAAACCCUCACCAGAGUAACAAUUGGAGGGCAAGUCUGGUGCCAGCAGCCGCGGUAAUUCCAGCUCCAAUAGCGUAUAUUAAACUUGUUGCAGUUAAAAAGCUCGUAGUUGAAUUUCUGCGUCACCGUAUUUUGACUUUUGUCGACUGUCGGUUUCGCUUUUGGGAUUUAUCCCUUUUUACUUUGAGAAAAUUAGAGUGUUUCAAGCAGACUUUUGUCUUGAAUACUUCAGCAUGGAAUAAUAGAGUAGGACUUUGGUUCUAUUUUGUUGGUUUGUGAACCUUAGUAAUGGUUAAUAGGAACGGUUGGGGG
RNAcentral lists this ribosomal RNA (322 nucleotides) under Babesia odocoilei. RNAcentral describes it as "SSU rRNA". It matches the Rfam family "Eukaryotic small subunit ribosomal RNA", at positions 515 to 888 of the family's 1831-position model. Lineage: Eukaryota; Apicomplexa; Aconoidasida; Piroplasmida; Babesiidae. The record is from RNAcentral.